This 896-nucleotide ribosomal RNA is filed under the name uncultured archaeon. RNAcentral describes it as "bacterial SSU rRNA". It matches the Rfam family "Archaeal small subunit ribosomal RNA", at positions 17 to 921 of the family's 1478-position model. The record is from RNAcentral.
CCGGACCUGACUGCUAUCGGAUUGGUACUAAGCCAUGCGAGUCAUUGUAGCAAUACAAGGCGGACGGCUCAGUAACACGUAGUCAACCUAACUCGUGGACGUGGAUAACCUCGGGAAACUGAGAAUAAACCACGAUAGAUCAUAGUGCCUGGAAUGGCUUAUGGUCCAAACAGUUUACUGCCAUGGGAUGGGACUGCGGCCUAUCAGCUUGUUGGUGAGGUAAUGGCCCACCAAGGCGAUUACAGGUACGGGCUCUGAGAGGAGAAGCCCGGAGAUGGGUACUGAGACACGGACCCAGGCCCUAUGGGGCGCAGCAGGCGAGAAACCUUAGCAAUGUGCGAAAGCACGACUGGGUCAGUCCGAGUGAUUCCUGAUAAAGGAGUCUUUUGCCUGUCCUAAAAGCACAGGUGAAUAAGGGGUGGGCAAGUCUGGUGUCAGCCGCCGCGGUAAUACCAGCACCUCGAGUGGUCAGGACGUUUAUUGGGCCUAAAGCAUCCGUAGCCGGCUCUGCAAGUCUUCGGUUAAAUCCACCUGCUCAACAGAUGGGCCGCUGGAGAUACUACAGAGCUAGGGAGUGGGAGAGGCAGACGGUAUUCAGUGGGUAGGGGUAAAAUCCUCUGAUCCAUUGAGGACCACCAGUGGCGAAGGCGGUCUGCCAGAACACGUUCGACGGUGAGGGAUGAAAGCUGGGGGAGCAAACCGGAUUAGAUACCCGGGUAGUCCCAGCUGUAAACGAUGCAAACUCGGUGAUGCAUUGGCUUAUGGCCAAUGCAGUGCCGCAGGGAAGCCGUUAAGUUUGCCGCCUGGGAAGUACGGACGCAAGUCUGAGACUUAAAGGAAUUGGCGGGGGAGCACCACAAGGGUGAAGCCUGCGGUUCAAUUGGAGUCAACGCCGG